This 69-nucleotide transfer RNA is filed under the name Condylostylus luteicoxa. RNAcentral's name for it is "tRNA-Gln". The record is from RNAcentral. Lineage: Eukaryota; Metazoa; Arthropoda; Insecta; Diptera; Dolichopodidae.
UAUAUUUUGGUGUAUGAUGCACAGAAGCUUUUGAUGCUUUUGGGAAUAGUUUAAUUCUAUUGAAUAUAA